Non-coding RNA from Pelobates cultripes (western spadefoot toad), 489 nucleotides. NCBI's taxonomy places the organism in Eukaryota, Metazoa, Chordata, Amphibia, Anura, Pelobatidae. The record is from the annotation of a GenBank genome assembly.
GCCCCUAAACCAUUAAACUGUCUGGAGCAAGGGUAAGCAAUCCUUGGCACUCCAGAUGAUGUGGCCAGCAUUGUGGCUGUAAGAGAUGCAGUCCACAAAAUCUGGAGAGCCAAAGGUUGUCUACCCCUGGCUUAGGGCCCUAUGGGAUUUUAAAGGGACACUAUAGUCACCAGAACAACUUGAGCUUAAUGAAGCGGUUUUGGUGUAUAGAUCAUGCCCCUGCAGUCUCACUGCUCAAUUCUCAGCCAUUUAGGAGUUGAACCACUUUGUUUAUUCAGUUCUAGCCACAACUCCUUGCAUAUGACCUGAACAGCCUUCCUCAACACUUCCUGUAAACAGAGAUCUAAUGUUUAAACUUCGUUUAUUGUGCAUUCUGUUUAAUUUAGAACCUAUCGCCUGCUCUAUUAAUAGCUCGCUAGAUCAUGCAGGAGACUCCUGUGUGCACUCAAUUUACAGAGAAGGAGAUAUGUGUCUAAAGCAGCGUUUCCC